RNAcentral lists this long non-coding RNA (358 nucleotides) under Amborella trichopoda. RNAcentral describes it as "long non-coding RNA (ATRI_LNC002186)". Lineage: Eukaryota; Viridiplantae; Streptophyta; Magnoliopsida; Amborellales; Amborellaceae. The record is from RNAcentral.
UUUGAGUUGUUUUGGUAAGUUUCCCGUCUCUAGGGUUUAAAUCGUGAUGGACGGCCACUUGGUCAGCAUCGCAGUCACGCCAAGACGCGGUCCGUGCUUCCCCCGUCCCCUCUUCCUUGAAUCUUGAAAUUAAAACCGCGUCGCGGGGUUUCGAAUAAUCGCAUUUCCUCCCUCUUGCCUCUCUCCUCUCCUCUCUCUGCUGUUCAUACCAACAAUUGAGGAAUUUGUGUCCUCCACUUUCUCUCUCUAAAAAUAUUGCACAUCUCUAUCAAAAUUCAAAAUUUUCUCAUACCAGGUUGCAUCUGGUCAGAAUAAAUAAAAUUGUGUUUCCUCCCACUUUCCUCUCUCUCUCUCUCNN